CUGCUAAAAAAAUAGCCCUCCCGUAUCCCUAACCUCAUCCCCACCAUCCCACCCAUCGCCUGCAAUGGAUCCGCCGCCGCCCUGAUCCCGACCAUCCGCCGCCGCGCUCUGCCCCAUCCACCGCCGCUGCUCACCGCAUUCACCCUCUGUUGCAUCCCAGCACCUCCAUAGCCACCGUGGACCAUCUCUCUCCUUGGUCCUCUCUUGGAUCAACAUGCGGUGACGGAUGCUUCCGGUCGCGUGGUGGUGAUGCGGCUGGUCGUGGAACAAGGGUGAGGCGGACUGUGUCCCAUUCAUUGAUCUUCCUCCAGCUCCAAUUCCUCCUCUCCCACCGAUCGUCAUGUCUGCGACAGGCGCUCUGCUUACCUGCGGCAACGAUGCGUAUGGCGACAACAAUGUCCUUUUGUGCCCCUCCACUCUUCGGACCGCUGAUGCACGGAAGUACGCAGAGAAGAUCGCGCUCCGCUUAGCAAAUUCGUCCGUGUUCUAAGUGGCUGCUCGGCAAGAGCUUGUGCCGGAUGUUCAUCAUCAACGCCAGAUAGGGGUUCAGGCUCCUGUUGAACUCAUGGCAUCAGCCAUAUGGACCUGCAUGUAUUUGAUAGUUUGCUCAAUCAGAUUUAUCCCUUCAACCAUAGUUUUUUGGCUGGAUACUGAGAUGGCACCAUUGUGCUGCUGAAGUUAAACCCUGUUUAUUGGGACGUACAAGCGGUCGGCAAGCACACAUGGCGGCCAGGGAUAAGCCAUAUUUUUCCAAUGACUGCUGCUAGGAUUGAUGUCCUAUUGCCGGAGAAACAAUGGCAACAGUCGCACCGUUUUGUCCAGCGAUGAUAUCAUCCAUGUCUAUUAUUUUGUUGACAAUCACCAUAGAGAAAUUUUUCUCGGUGCGGGCACUCAAUUCACGAGCCAAACAUUGAUGCGGGCUACUAUGGGGGCUAGGAAGCAGGAUCAACUUGAAGCCAACUUAAAAUUAAUUCUAAUGAGCAUUUGGUCUUCAUUUUGUCGUGAUGCAAACACAUGAACGUGUGGACUACCAUCCAUUGAUGCGUGGAGACCAGAUAUUCAUGUAUCGGCCUCACGCGUGUCGUUGCUGGAGCCCAUUCAUGGCGAGGAUACAUGGUUGAUGGCCCAACAAUCCUUAGGGGAUGGAAGGAUCCCAUGACUAUAGGAAUGGCACUAAAUAAACUGUGUACUAACUAGAGAAAUGAUUUAUUUCAUAGGUCUAGAAUAUAUAGGCUGACAAGUAUUUGGCAUUCUGUCUUUUUAAUAAAUAGAUGAUUUUUCUACAAUAGUUCCAUGUUCAUAUGUCAUGCUUCUUUGGUGCAAUAGGAAACAAUGUCAUUGAUCGACCAGAUUAUAUAGGGAUUUAUAUCAUCCUGA
This is a non-coding RNA of Aegilops tauschii subsp. strangulata, 1377 nucleotides long. The record is from RefSeq and is a predicted model, not a curated record. Lineage: Eukaryota; Viridiplantae; Streptophyta; Magnoliopsida; Poales; Poaceae.